This 368-nucleotide ribosomal RNA is filed under the name uncultured bacterium. RNAcentral describes it as "bacterial SSU rRNA". It matches the Rfam family "Bacterial small subunit ribosomal RNA", at positions 741 to 1105 of the family's 1533-position model. The record is from RNAcentral.
UGACGCUCAUGUACGAAAGCGUGGGUAGCAAACAGGAUUAGAUACCCUGGUAGUCCACGCCCUAAACGAUGUCAACUGGUUGUUGGGGGAGUGAAAUCCCUUAGUAACGAAGUUAACGCGUGAAGUUGACCGCCUGGGGAGUACGGUCGCAAGAUUAAAACUCAAAGGAAUUGACGGGGACCCGCUCAAUCGGUGGAUGAUGUGGAUUAAUUCGAUGCAACGCGAAAAACCUUACCUACCCUUGACAUGUCCGGAAUCUUGCAGAGAUGCGGGAGUGCCCGAAAGGGAAUCGGAACACAGGUGCUGCAUGGCUGUCGUCAGCUCGUGUCGUGAGAUGUUGGGUUAAGUCCCGCAACGAGCGCAACCCU